UACGGGGGGAACUAGCGUUGUUCGGAUUUACUGGGCGUAAAGGGUGCGUAGGCGGGCUGACAAGUCGGGUGUGAAAUUCCAGGGCUUAACCUUGGAUCUGCAUUCGAAACUGCCGGUCUUGAGUACUGGAGAGGUGAGUGGAAUUCUCGGUGUAGCGGUGAAAUGCGUAGAUAUCGAGAGGAACACCGUUGGCGAAGGCGGCUCACUGGACAGAUACUGACGCUGAGGCACGAAGGUCGGGGGAGCAAACAGG
This 253-nucleotide ribosomal RNA is filed under the name uncultured bacterium. RNAcentral's name for it is "partial 16S ribosomal RNA". It matches the Rfam family "Bacterial small subunit ribosomal RNA", at positions 524 to 776 of the family's 1533-position model. The record is from RNAcentral.